RNAcentral lists this ribosomal RNA (490 nucleotides) under uncultured bacterium. Its description in RNAcentral is "partial 16S ribosomal RNA". It matches the Rfam family "Bacterial small subunit ribosomal RNA", at positions 30 to 507 of the family's 1533-position model. The record is from RNAcentral.
AUUGAACGCUGGCGGCAUGCCUUACACAUGCAAGUCGAACGGCAGCAUGAUCUAGCUUGCUAGAUUGAUGGCGAGUGGCGAACGGGUGAGUAAUACAUCGCAACGUGCCCUGUAGUGGGGGAUAACUAGUCGAAAGAUUAGCUAAUACCGCAUACGACCUGAGGGUGAAAGUGGGGGACCGCAAGGCCUCAUGCUAUAGGAGCGGCCGAUGUCUGAUUAGCUAGUUGGUGGGGUAAAGGCCCACCAAGGCGACGAUCAGUAGCUGGUCUGAGAGGACGAUCAGCCACACUGGGACUGAGACACGGCCCAGACUCCUACGGGAGGCAGCAGUGGGGAAUUUUGGACAAUGGGGGCAACCCUGAUCCAGCAAUGCCGCGUGUGUGAAGAAGGCCUUCGGGUUGUAAAGCACUUUUGUCCGGAAAGAAAUCGCACUUACUAAUAUUAGGUGUGGAUGACGGUACCGGAAGAAUAAGGACCGGCUAACUACGUG